ACGACUCUCGGCAACGGACAUCUCGGCUCUCGCAUCGAUGAAGAACGUAGCGAAAUGCGAUACCUGGUGUGAAUUGCAGAAUCCCGCGAACCAUCGAGUCUUUGAACGCAAGUUGCGCCCGAGGCCACUCGGCCGAGGGCACGCCUGCCUGGGCGUCACGC
RNAcentral lists this ribosomal RNA (161 nucleotides) under Hordeum patagonicum subsp. mustersii. RNAcentral describes it as "5.8S ribosomal RNA". It matches the Rfam family "5.8S ribosomal RNA". From Rfam's summary of the family: 5.8S ribosomal RNA (5.8S rRNA) is a component of the large subunit of the eukaryotic ribosome. It is transcribed by RNA polymerase I as part of the 45S precursor that also contains 18S and 28S rRNA. The record is from RNAcentral. Lineage: Eukaryota; Viridiplantae; Streptophyta; Magnoliopsida; Poales; Poaceae.